Heterocephalus glaber (naked mole-rat) is the source of this 4907-nucleotide long non-coding RNA. The record is from Ensembl. NCBI's taxonomy places the organism in Eukaryota, Metazoa, Chordata, Mammalia, Rodentia, Bathyergidae.
UCCUUCCUCCACAGGGUGGUGGGGUGGGUGGGAUGCCCAGGAUCUUGGCCUUGCAUUUCUCAGAGUUCUGAGCUGGGACACAUGAUUCAGAGCUCAGACACAUGGAGACCAUCUUGGCUUUGCAGCUUGGUCAAGCUAGGCCCCUUCCUGAGGCCCCAGGAUUGAUGACCUGGCUGUGCCAUCAGUGUGGGAGGGGUGUGUGUUCCACAAGUCUCAGGCACAAUGCCUCUGCCCUCUAGGAUAUACAUCCUUUGUCGAUAGGGAUAAAGGAAAGGUUGGGACUGUGCUGGGUAGUAGGAGACAGCACCUCUAGAAGCACCCAAUACAUAGAAGGCGAGGCUGAGCAGCUGAAGGAUUCAGGUGGCCCUGUAAUCACAAGGACAGCAUUACCAAGUUCUGAGGGGAAGUAACCAUGUCUGAUUGGAAGAAGGGCAUCUUGUAGGCCAAAAAGGCCCAAACAUCAGCUUUUUAGGACACUUACCCAGCUCAGGUGUUCCCAGAACAGCAAACCACAAACCAAUAGCUCUCCCAUGACCCUCAUACUAAGCUACUUGCUUGGUGGUUAUCCUCAGACCAAGGUCUUGACUGCUCAGAUCCAGCUGCUACCCAGAGUUGCCAGGAGGGGGUACACUCUGGCUUCUCUUUGGGGAAGGUCAGCAGAGCCACUCCAUUUACCAGGAUCUGGCCCAGGAGCCCUGGACACCUGGUGGAUAGAACAGAGAAAUCUGGAGGCACAGACAAGUCUGUUUCUGAGUUUCUGUCCAGAGGGUUAUGGCCUGCCCUCCCACCUACCCAGGUUUUGUGGUCAUCUGUCUUGGUACCAGCAGGGGCUAUCUAGGGUAGCUGGAAGCACAAUAGGUCUUUCAGGAGCCUAUGGCUCUAUGGAGUCUCCAGCCCAAGGAAGAUACAGUCCCCCGUUUAGUACAUAGUGUGGGGCAAGGAAGGACAUGAUCAAAACCCAUUGUUAUGGAAAAUGUUCCCAAGAAGCCUGAGCUUCUUGCAGUGGGACAUUCCCAGAGGAAACCUGGAGAUCCCAGGAAGUCCCUCCUGGGUGGUCAACCCCCAGCCCCGUCCCACUGCAAUCAGCUGGCCACAGGGUUUGCCACACUGGAGCCUCCAGCAGACCUGCCCCUCCCAAGGUGGAUCCUGUAUCCAGUUGGUCCCUGACUUGGUACAUUGCCACUGCUUGAACCUUCCAAGUUUUAAUUCUGCCUAAUAGAACAGCAUAGAUAAAGCUUGGACUAAGCAAACAGGAGCAGUGACUUUGCCCCUCCUCUGGGAGAAAACCUAUUGGCAGUAAGGAUAGGAAGUUACCUCACCAUUUAGCUAGACCCCAAGGCAGCUACCCAGAGAGCAUAGGCCCCUCCACCUGCCAGCAGUUCACAGACCUAGAGUCCCAAAGGAGGGCAGGAACUUCAACCAGGAAUCCUUUCCAUUUUGUUAUCCUGUUAGCUCACUGAUUAUCUGGACCCAGGUGUAUGUGGCUCAUAAAGCAAGUGGUGAUAGAGUAAUUUGCAAAAUUUGAGCUUUAGAUUUGAGCAGCUGGCCUGGCCAUCUUAUGGCCAUCACACCAAGCUACCGACGUGUUCAUCCCUGAGAAACUUGACUCCAUGACUGCCUCUUGGUCUGUUUACUGCUGUGUGUCCAAAGCCUAGAACAGGGUUGGGCCCCAAGUUGGUUCAAGGAGAACUGGGCUGCUUGACCCUGCAGGGCUCUCUGCUGCUCCCACAUCCCCAGGCUAUCUUGUGACUUAAGUGUGUCCACAUGUCAAGAUUGUGUCCUCUGACAAGGACCAAACUGGCACGGAGCAGGGUUCAGUCAACAGUUGAUAACCCAAAGGCUUUUCUUCAGAACACUAAGGAUGACCACAGUGUGACUAGAGAUGCAGAAGAGACCCUUGUCCCUUAUCAUGCCUAUUUCCUCCAUUUCCCUCAACAAUCCUAAGAUUCCUCCUUAGGCCCUUUUGAGCAACUAGACUACCAUAAUGGCAGGCCUUGUUCCUGCCCUGAUCCACUCAUAGGGCCCUGCUUAGCAACACUGGCUUGAGUUUGCCAUCUGCAGUAAUCUAGCUGGAGCCACAGAUCCACAGGCCAAAUAUUAGCUGUUUCUAUGGCAAGCAGGUCACAAGACUGCUCCUUUCCUCUUUGAGGAGCAAUAUUAGCUCUGAUCUCAACCACUAUGAUCACUGAAAAUCCACUCUCAGUGUCCUCUCAUGUGAAGGCCACAUUGCCCAAAGGCUGCACCCUUCACACUGGGAAGUUGAGAGGUUGCCCAGGUUACAAAGAGCAGAACCCUCUAUAUAGUCCUUAAUGUCCUCCAGGCAGCCUGCUAGCUGCCCUCUGCAGAUGGCCAGUAGGCCUGGGACUGGUGUUCCAGAGCAAGGGGAUAAGUCUCCCAGGACAGAUGAAUGUCCUGCCACCUAGGACUAUUUAGAAAGCCAGUUUCUGUGCCAGGCGUGGUGGUGCAUUCCUGUAAUUCCAGCACUCAGGAGCCCGAGGCAGGAGGAUUGCUGCAAGGCCAGGCUGGACUAUCUACUGAGACCCUCAAACAAAGAUUUGUCUCAAAGCCAACUUCUGACCUGACCACUAAAAGUGGGAUCCUUCCCAUCAGGACACAGGUGUGCAUCCAGAGUACAAUGGUUCGUCUUCGGCUUUCUGGCUCUCCUGGUGCAUGGCCCUAUUCCUAGAGGGCUUAUUGUUAUAGGUGCAGAUUUUCUGAGCCCUAGAGUAAAUUUCACCCACUCUCUCACUUGAAAAACUCACCUCCAUCUUACCACAGAUCUGGUGGUCUCUCCUGAGUCUCCAAAAGAGCCUCACUUCUUUCUGGUCUGAUCCUCAUUUCCUGCAUGGUAUUCUCGAAGGCCCAGCUCCCCUCAAAUCCCUCUCUCACUGCAGCUUUUGCUUCCAGGAUUCCUAGGCCCAUCCUCUCCACCAUUCCGGCGCGCGCUCAGAGGACAGAGGAUAGAACAGCCUGAAGUGGGCUUAGGAAGCUUUGAGUGUGAGUGACCUCGGGGGCAGCCAAAUGGCCCUAAAGGAACAGUAAGCCUAAGGAGCUCUUUCGUGAAGGGGUGGCUCAGGGCUGGGGGAGGUGGGUGGCCCAGUUUAAAGACAGAUUCCCUUGAGUUAAGGGAACAGGCCGAGAAGUCAUAUGACCAAGUGACAUCGUGAUUCACGAGACUGUACCUCAGACUCAAGCCAAUCUGCACGACCGCUGCUUCUGAACGCGGAGCCCUGGAGGAGUCGCCAGGAACAGAGCUAGACAUCCCGGAGGGGACCUGGAAGAGGCUGGGAGCAACCACGGGAUGGCCUGACCCCUCCGCAGAUAGACCUCCUAGCUCUCAACUUGGUCCAAGAACAUCAAGACCCUCAGCCCUGCCUUGGACCUAUGGGAGUCGUAGUCCGGACGUGAGUCCCAGCGUCCCGUGCGCCGCUGACGCACCGUAGCCGAGGGACCCGGCCGGGCGCCACGCUACGGAGGCGGCGUAAAGCGAGUCGUGUUUGGGCGGCUCUACGGAGGCUGCGUAAGAAGGCCGGGCCGGGAGCUCCGCGGCUGAGGCGUGCUGGUCGGGGCAGCGCGCCCAGGGACGAGUAAGGCUGCACCAUUCUCCUUGAAGUUGAGGAUCAGUCCACGGAGACGCCAUUCAGCCGCAAACGCUAAAGAGGCCCCGCUGCUCUCAGAGCCAGCCGCCCUGUCUCCGCCGUGGGCACUCUGCUCUCUCCAUGCUCCCGUUCGUGUGUUGCCGGCCAGAGGUGACCAGGCCCAGCUCUCAGCGUGGCCACUGUCAGGGAGGCCAUGGGGAGCUCCGCCUCCUCCCUGGCCACCGAGACAGAGUCAGACCAUGGCUUCCCUAGGGGGCUGCCCUACCCAGGGACCCCAGCAGCGGCUGGGUGGUGUAGGAGUGGCCCUGGGGCCCCCGUCUGGGGGAGUGCCCUGGUCACCAGGCAGCACCCACGCCCCCGGGCCCGAAGGUAAGAAGGUGGGGAGGGACUGUCCCAGAGGGGUCUUGGGCAGGAGGCCUCUUUUUCAAGGUGUCCCUCCUUGGCAGAGGUGCUUGCUCAGAACUGGGGACCCUGUCUCUCAGGGUUUUCUGGCAAUUUAUUCCCCACAAAAUGCAAGAGCUGAGAGGCUCUGGGCUUGUUUCCACUCUUGGCUAAGCAGGAUCCCUCCUCCCAGACCAGAGUAUGUCAGCACUGUCCCCUAUUGGGCACUUCUUUGCCAUGGCAUACCAUGCCUUGCAGAAGCUGCCUGGAGACCCUCUUGGACCAGGAAAGCUGCUGACCCCAGCCCUCAUGACUAUGACUCCCACAGUCUGCCAUCUGCUGGCAUGGUGAGAGGACCAGCGUGGAGCUGUGGGCAGCACACAGUAGACUGGACUCCUCAGGGGGCUUUGACGUAAGAUUUGAACUCCUGGAGAUGAAGGACAUGAAGGUGUCUUUGAGGCUGUGGGAGAAUCCAAAGUCCUAAGAACUACCCUUGUGAAUGGGAGCUGAAAUCUAGGGAGGACAGGAGCAGAAUAGCAGCAGAGACCAGUGAGAAGGGGGGUGGCCAGGCCUGGUGGCUGCACACUGCUUUUCCUGCACAUGAUGGUGUUAAGAGUGCAUCCGCAGAACCUCUCCAUACUUUGUCACUCUGGGGAACACCUCUAUGUGUCUUUUCAAAUAGCUUUAUUGAGAUAUGGCAUAUCCCAUCAAAUCACCUGUUAGUACAGUCAUUUCCAACCAGUUUAUAGCUUUGUUCAGACAUCCUCACAAACCAGUUAUAACAUCUCUGUACUCCAAAGAGAUCCUCCUGCCUGUUUGUAGUCGCUCCCUCCCUAUCAUGGUCCUAGACAGCGACUAACCUGCUGCCUGUCUAUAGGUUUGCCUUUUCUAGAAGUUUCACAUAAGCGGAGUCAUACAGUGUGUGGC